Long non-coding RNA from Sarcophilus harrisii (Tasmanian devil), 3878 nucleotides. The record is from Ensembl. Lineage: Eukaryota; Metazoa; Chordata; Mammalia; Dasyuromorphia; Dasyuridae.
AUGGCGCACGAUCUCGUGGAAGAGCGCGUCCGGCUCCUCGUCUAUGGUGUAGUAGCGCUGGGGCGGCGGGGCCGGGGCCGGGGACGGUGCCGGGGCCGGGGCCGGGGCGGAGGCGGAGGCGGAGGCGGAGGUGGAGGUGGAGGCGGAGGCGGAGGCGGAGGCAGGGGCCGGGAAGAGCUCCCCGUGCGCGGAGCAGGCCAGCCGCGGGCCGGACGGCCGCGGCUCGGCCCUGGGCUCGGACUCGGGCUGCGGCUUGCGCUCGGGCUGCGGCUCCGGCUCGGGCUCGCGCUGCGCCUCCGCCUCCGCCUCCGCCUCCGCCGCCAGCGCAGCCUGGAAGCCGUGCAGUCCGGUGCGCGGGGGGCAGCCCCCGCCGGCGCUCGGGAAGCCGAAGCGCUGCUCCGAGGCGAUGACGUGGGCCUGGUGGCCGGCCCGGCCGGGGCCCUGUACGGAGGAGCAGCCGCCGGCCAUCUGCAGGAGCUUCCGGGGCCCGGGAUCGUCUCUGUCGCGGGGCCCGGCCAGAUCCGUCUUCGGCUCCGGCUCCCUCUCCGCUUCCGUCUCCCCCAACUCGUGAGGCUGCGGGAGAGCCCCGGGUCCACCUCCGGCCGUGGCCGUGCGGUUCCUGCUUCGGACCGAGUCCUGGUCGCUGCUCUGGAGGUGAAUUGCCCAGUACUUCAGUAUACUCAUCUGUCAAAGGGCUUUAAAUAACCCCUGCCCAUCUCUUGGAGACUAAAAUGAAGGCCUCAGAAGAAGAUUUCAGCAGUGUCAACUACUGUUAUGGCUUUAAGAGCUCCAUUUAAUUAAACGAUCUCAGCAACUGGUGGCCUAAAAAUCAGGAAAAAAAAAUUUUUUUAAGAAAACAGAAUUUUUCCCUAUUUAAGUAAGGUCUUUUCUUUCUCCUGGACCAUUUAGUCAGAAUAUAGUAAAGAUUGUACUAAUUGCUGAGAAGAAAAAACUUUCUUGUUUAUGAGAUUAGCAGAAAAGAAACUAAAUUAUGACUCCACAGAAAAAGAAAAUAUAUGAAUUAAAUCAGGCAUGAUUUAUUUGAAUACGAAUUUUCAAAUUAUAUUGUAAAAAAUUGAGUUUAUAUUUGUAGUGUCCCAAAGCAUCCCCUGGAUUUUGAAAUGGGUUCUCUAUGCGGUAGUAUCCCCAGAUUUAAGGGGUUCUGUGGGUCUGAACCCCUAAAAAUAUAGCUCAGGGGUCUCCACAGCAGAGAACACAAUUACCUCAAAGCAAAGGCAUUUACUGAAAUAACAUAGUAAGAAAAGUAGCAAUCCCAUCCCACUCUACUCCCCAAAAUAAAUCUUUCCUUUUAAUCCUAGGGGACACUCUCCCACAAAAACAAAUAGCACCAUGGGAAAGAGGUCCUCAUAGAGGUUAUAAGUUGAGAAUCAUAAUCAUAAGGAACACACAUAGCCAGAACACACGUAUGGAGUUCCUGUAGCCAAAGCAUGUUUGAGGAGGGAUGCUAAAGAGCCAUUAACAUUAUAGGGUCUCUUAUUCUAGGUCAGGCCCAAACUAGAUAACAUAAUAGUUCAUGCUUAAAGAAGAUACAAUGAAAUAUUUAGUGGAACAAACAACUGUAGUUAAGAAAAACAACUAAUUAAGAAUUAAAAGAACACACUUCAAAAAUUAAAAGAAUGCUACUCCCCAUACAAAGUCAGGAACUCCAGAAAGCUACAAGCAGUUGAAACUCAGGAGAAGCAAUCAUUCUCCUUAUAAGCCUUUUAUAUUUCAAGUGACUUUUUCAACACAUCCCAGUUUACAUUCUACCUGAGCAGCAAGUGAUGGAUAGUACCACUAAGAAAUGAAAAAGGAAUUAGGGAAGUGGGAAUGAAAAGGAAAGAAAGCAGAGGGGCUCCAGAUAUAAUAUGUAACAGGCACAAAAACAACCCUGCUCUCACCAAUGAAAUCUAAUUGUUCCUCCCUAAUAGAAGUCCCCAGUGUUGCGUACACCAUCCACAUAAAAUCAUACAUUUUCUUAUAACACAGCAAUUCUUGGUAGUAAGGUCCCAAAAAUUUUCAUAGAAACUUUCUACUAUUAAAAUAAUUUUAAAACAAUUCUAAGAACUAGAAAGGCAUUGCAAAUCAUGAAAAUACAAAAUCAUAUAAAUAAUCUUCUUUAAAGAUGGAAGAAGCAGGGCAAAAAAAAAAAAAAAAAUCAGGGGCAGUUCAUAAAAAUUUUCUAAAGCCAAAACACUUGUGAUAGCCAGAAAUAGUACCAGGAACAUUAAGUCCAUCAAAAAAACUGAAGAUUCCUCUCAAGCUAUCACUAUUCUACAUCACAGAUCUGAAUCACCUAAAUCAAAAUAAGUGGUCAUAGGCUUUUUGCAUGCACUCUAUGACAGGGCUCACUCCCAUGCACCCUCUUGAACACUUAUUUGAUGUUCCCUAAUGCAUAACGUAGGAGCUACUUCAAGAGGAUGCUACCAAAUUGUGGCUUCUUUAGACCCUUUUACCUGAGGGACUACUUCGUUCCUCCUUGGGCAAUGGGUAAAGACUGCCUUCAAAAUUAAUACCAAAUUAGCCAAAGGAUCUCAUUUUUCUAAAUGAAUUCCUUAUCAUGGUUGUAAAAAGACAGUUUUACAUUCUCUAUCAUUAAAAAGUAAAGCCUCCUCUAGUAAUUCUACCCUUUAAUCCCCACAACCCUUUCUGGGCAUGAACUAUCCAAAAUAUCCUGAAAGAAAAGAAAACUGCAUGACCUCCCUCCUUGAAUUUAUAGAAUCCCCUGUGGGGUGGAAAUGGGAGGCAGAUUCUUCUAGAUCUGGGUGAUCACAUAGGAAACUUCAUAUGGGACAAAAAAAAAAAAAGACUGGAGAGGGUCAUUUGGGACUAUAUGCUCCUCCCAAUCAGGCUGAAAUUAAGAAAUUGUUUUGGAGCACCCCUCUUUCAUGGAUAGUAAUGAUUGAUCAAAGUUACCAUUCUGUGAUAGAACAAAAACAAACAAAAAAGGUAAUGAAUUAUAUUAUGAUACAGCUAUUAUUCUAUAAAAGUCUAUUUCAACAUUCCACAGUACCAACUGCCUUAGAAUAGCAUGGAAAUGAAAACCCCAGUAAAUGUGUUGGGCCCAAUCUCAAUCCUUUCUGGAAGUAAAAUAAAUAUCUUGAUUAGAGGCAAUGGUUUUGGGGAGGGCUAAAGGGAGGGAGCAUAAGGAAGAAAGAUAGGGGCUUUAAUUGUAGUUGCCAAGUAGAAAACUAAACUAACACUGUAACUGAAUGUCCUGAAUAGGUGUCAACUCUAGUGAGGGAAAAUCUUUUGCUUUGCAAUGAAAAAAAAAAGAACAAUAUAAUUAAUUUUCUGUGAUGUUAAGCCAUUCUGAUUCUUCAAAGGUGUAUGCUCUGAUUGGCAAGGGGAACGUUGUCCAACAGUAAUAUCAUCAUUGUUCUAAAGGAUUCAUAUGGUUUCCUGCCCACUGCAACAUAGCAGAAGGAUAUCUUUGUCUAUAUUAAUGAUGAACCCAAUGCCCAAUCUUUGCUAUUAUAAGAUCAUCAACUUGGUUACUGAAUACAACAGAGGGUAUAUGAUAACUUCAUUGUAUACUAAUGUGCCCCACAAAUAACUAUAUGUGAUGAAAGGCAUUGGCAAAAUUCUUCCAAUAGUCCCAUCUCCAAAGUGUCUGAUUCUGUUCUCUCUGAACCUUAAAUUAUUCACCCAAAUCAUAGUCACUGCCCAAGAGUCAAUACAAGUAAAAAUGUGAUUUGCUCUAUCCAUCAAGGCUUUCUCACAGUUUAGCCCACUUAGACAACUUUCCAGAGCUCCUAUCUCUUAGGGUUUUCCCUGCUCUGUGGAUGCUGAGAGACAAUUGUAUCUUGCUUUCUCAUAUUAGACAGAAUUAUUAGUAAGUCAAGGAAAAUAAUAUUUCUUAAGAGCUAGUCCUUUUA